UCAUACGACACUUUAUCUCUGUUUCGAGAUUUUUUGAUGUGUUUAGACUGUUCACUGGUGGUUUUAGGCCUACUAUCUUGAAUGUUUUUCUUCCCAAGCGACUCGUAAAGGCUCGUUUUACCCUCGCUGUCUACAAUUGCGAGUACUUCAAACGAGUUUUCAUGCACGAAAUUAAAGUUGCGGUCAUUGUUCACACGAUUUAACACUUCUUGUUUGUUGUUUUUAAAUGUAGCUUGGUUGUUUUUAAACGUAGCUUUGUUCCAGUUUUUGGAAGCAGGCGAAAUGUUUUGCACUGAGUCCCGCGUGUAGCACGUACCUUGUUUUGAUCGGAGAUCAUAAUUUUCUUUGUUGAGCCAUGAAAUUUCUUUACGAAGCACUUUGACAAUUUUCUGUAGGCUGAUAAGUACUGAUGACAAAAGAUGAAUACUGUGUGGCUAAAAAAAGAGCCUGGUUCUACUGUAGCAAACUAAGAGAUGGUACCACAACUGAUACUGUAACUAACUUCUUACAGAAAACUUUCCUUAGUCACAACAGUUUUACAGUUGAGAAACUGGAAAUAAAGGGAGUAAAUAAUAGAGGGUGCCCAAUGCUCCAGUGAGAUAAACUUCCAAGAUUAAAAGUACUCCAGUGCAAAAGGAAACAUCACCACUGAAAAAUGCAAGCCCCAAACGGCAAUUUUGAAAACUUCAUCAGCAAACUGGAAAGUUUUUUAUGCCAUCUGGUGUGCUAGGAGCGAAAAUUGCCUUAUUUGGAGAUGUCAACACCCAUAUCAGGGAAGAUAGUGACAGUGAGAGAGUUUAUAUGAACUUAGUAAGCAGCUAUGGAUAUUUGUGACAUGUUAUAUAUUCAAGAAGAGGAGAUGUCUGCCUUGAUACAGUUAUUGCAUCAAAAUAUUCGAGGACUGAGGAAUAAAUUUAAUGAAUUAAAUAUCUGCAUAGAUGAAUUAGAGUCAAUUCAAACCCAGCUGACAUAAUCUGCCUCUCUGAACAUCAUGUGACCACUGGUAUAGAACUUUUAAG
This is a long non-coding RNA of Schistocerca nitens (vagrant locust), 1019 nucleotides long. RefSeq lists it as uncharacterized. NCBI's taxonomy places the organism in Eukaryota, Metazoa, Arthropoda, Insecta, Orthoptera, Acrididae. The record is from RefSeq and is a predicted model, not a curated record. The transcript has 3 exons.